Molecule: long non-coding RNA, 551 nt
Filed under: Phoenix dactylifera (date palm)
Lineage: Eukaryota; Viridiplantae; Streptophyta; Magnoliopsida; Arecales; Arecaceae
Description: long non-coding RNA (PDAC_LNC012964)
Source: RNAcentral
CUACAGCUAUCCAACCCCAUUAGGCUCUAGUAAGGUCCAUGUAGCGAGCUUUCAGCCAAUGACCCCCGAUCCAGUUGGCUCAAGACAUUAGGUGAAAUACCCCUCGGACUUAAUUACUCGAACCAAACUACGCCACGAGGCCAGACUUGUCAUCAUAAGGAUUUUUUUUUGUUUAAUUAUGCAAGAAAAGAGAAGAUAGACUGAACCAUAUAGGUAUUUUUUUAUUAUAUAUGUGACUGCAUCGUGACUAUAGGUCAACCAAGGUCGGAUCAUAAGGCACCUAAGUAAUCUAACUGGGAUAUUCAACCUCUAUCUUUAUGUGAAAACCAAAUCAUGAACCUUAUGGUACGAACAAGGAUACUCGUACUUCUUUUACGGAUAAAGCUAACAAAAAUGCAGUUAACAAAUGUGAACUCGUGAGGCUUUUCUAUUGUCAUUAAGUACACGUGUGGGGAUCUAAUAAUAGGUCUCUGAUCAAUCAUAGUAUGCAUGUGUUCCUUGCCUUAAUAGUUGCACAAACUCAAUAUGAAAAUACAUGUGCAUUUGCUCAG